GAAAUUAAUUUGAGGAGGAUGCUGAAAGGAAAGGUAAUGGAGGCUUACCAGAAAGGGGACGCCAAAGUUAAUGAUUUGCACACGCUUAAAGGUCGAUGCAUCUUGACCUGCCGCUUUUCCACAAAGCUUAAACCCCCAAUCCUAGCGCGGUGAUUUUAGCUCAGCGAUGGGCUGGAUUCGAGUGGUUGGGAUAAAACCCUUUUCGGGUGCUUGUUGUUUUGUUACUGUUUUGAGGUCGGUAUCCGUUGUGUUUUUCCGACAGACACUGUUCCAUGCAAUUACUCGAUCGGCUCCU
Molecule: small RNA, 295 nt
Filed under: Cryptococcus neoformans H99
Lineage: Eukaryota; Fungi; Basidiomycota; Tremellomycetes; Tremellales; Cryptococcaceae
Description: Cryptococcus neoformans var. grubii H99 hypothetical RNA
Source: RNAcentral